UAUAUAUGUAUGUAAAACAUAUAUAAAAAUAUGUCUACUCAAGCAUUUAUCACUUUCUCAUGAUGGUUUGGUAUGUUUCUUUAUCUGUCAAUUGUAAAGAAGCUUGCUAACUAUAAGCAUUUCCUUUUUCUUGCAUGAUUAUUCGUGCUUUGCUUUCAGGUAUUUGGCUCUGCGGGUGUUAUUGGAAAUCCAAUGGGUUUUGCAAGAAAUGUUGGAGUUGGUAUCAAGGAUUUUCUCUCAGUUUCUAGCAAAGGAAUUGUGCAGAGGAAUUAACUAUAAACCAGGCUCAACAGUUUGAUGUCCUUUGCAAAAUGAAUAGUUCUUGUCAGUAUGAAUUAUCCUCAUCAGCAAUGAGAAAACACAUAAUUGAAUGAAUUUGGAGCAUGUGGUCAAUCUUAUUCAGCUGUUGACUCAAGUCAAGUAACUGAUAAUUCUUCCGAGCAGAGUAGAUAUCAAUCGCAUUAUUGUCAUUGAAAACUGAAGAUCUUAUCAUGAUUUAUAUACAUUUGAUUAGCUAUACUUCCGUAGGUAUAUCUGCAAAUCCUUAUAUGCCUGAUUGAGAUAAUCAUCUUCCACUGAAAUUUUGAAGAAACCAGAACCAAAAUUUACUAAAGGCAGCUGAGGAAGUACAAUCUAGUCUGGAGAGUUACACAUCAUGCUUUUCAGAUAAGAUCAAGAAAAGGACAUACAACUAAUGUUAUCAGGAUCUUGUUUGUUUCCCAGCAACAAGGCUGCAAUAUUGAAUUUUAAUGUUGCAUGUGGAAUGGAGUUUUAAUGUUGUUUUGAUACAAGUAUUUGUAUAGUUAUACUACAUGAUUUCCAAUGUAUAUAGAGGGCAUCUAUAUGUAUUGUUAA
Dioscorea cayenensis subsp. rotundata (Guinea yam) is the source of this 855-nucleotide long non-coding RNA. RefSeq lists it as uncharacterized. The transcript has 4 exons. The record is from RefSeq and is a predicted model, not a curated record. Lineage: Eukaryota; Viridiplantae; Streptophyta; Magnoliopsida; Dioscoreales; Dioscoreaceae.